This 3022-nucleotide ribosomal RNA is filed under the name Brevibacillus agri. RNAcentral describes it as "23S ribosomal RNA". It matches the Rfam family "Bacterial large subunit ribosomal RNA". Lineage: Bacteria; Bacillati; Bacillota; Bacilli; Caryophanales; Paenibacillaceae. The record is from RNAcentral.
GUGGUUAAGUUACUAAGGGCACACGGUGGAUGCCUUGGCGCUAGGAGCCGAAGAAGGACGCAGCGAACUGCGAUAAGCCUCGGGGAGCGGUAAGCACGCUUUGAUCCGGGGAUCUCCGAAUGGGGCAACCCACCAUCUGUAAUGGGAUGGUAUCCUUCACUGAAUCCAUAGGUGAUGAGAGGGCAGACCCGGUGAACUGAAACAUCUAAGUAGCCGGAGGAAGAGAAAACAAUAGUGAUUCCGUCAGUAGUGGCGAGCGAACGCGGAAGAGCCUAAACCGUCGGGUUUACCCGGCGGGGUUGUGGGGCGUCUCACAUGGAGUUACAAAGGAUGGAUGUAGAUGAACAGUCUGGGAAGGCUGACCAAAGAGCGUGACAGUCGCGUAAUCCAAACAUCCAUCCCUCCGAGACCAACCCCGAGUAGCGCGGGACACGUGAAAUCCCGUGUGAAUCUGGCAGGACCAUCUGCUAAGGCUAAAUACUACCUAGCGACCGAUAGUGAACCAGUACCGUGAGGGAAAGGUGAAAAGCACCCCGGGAGGGGAGUGAAACAGUACCUGAAACCGUGUGCUUACAAAUAGUCGGAGCCCGUUAAAAGGGUGACGGCGUGCCUUUUGUAGAAUGAACCGGCGAGUUACGGUAGCGUGCGAGGUUAAGUCGAAGAGACGGAGCCGCAGCGAAAGCGAGUCUGAAUAGGGCGCAAGUACGUUGCCGUAGACCCGAAACCGUGUGAUCUAGCCAUGUCCAGGGUGAAGGUAGGGUAACACCUACUGGAGGCCCGAACCCACGCACGUUGAAAAGUGCGGGGAUGAGGUGUGGCUAGCGGUGAAAUUCCAAUCGAACUCGGAGAUAGCUGGUUCUCCCCGAAAUAGCUUUAGGGCUAGCCUCGGAAUGGGACCCCGCCGGACGCGAGCGUAAGCUUGUGUUCGGUGGGACCCUUGAGAGUCUUGGAGGUAGAGCACUGAUUGGGCUAGGGGCCCUCAUCGGGUUACCGAACUCAGUCAAACUCCGAAUGCCAAUGACUUAUGUCCGGGAGUCAGACGGUGAGUGCUAAGAUCCAUCGUCAAAAGGGAAACAGCCCAGACCAUCAGCUAAGGUCCCCAAGUAUACGUUAAGUGGGAAACGAUGUGGAGUUGCCCAGACAACCAGGAUGUUGGCUUAGAAGCAGCCACCAUUUAAAGAGUGCGUAAUAGCUCACUGGUCGAGUGACUCUGCGCGGAAAAUGUAACGGGGCUAAACGUAUCACCGAAGCUAUGGCAGUCCUUAUGGACUGGGUAGGGGAGCGUUCCAAGCAGCGGUGAAGCCGUACUGGAAAGAGCGGUGGAGCGCUUGGAAGUGAGAAUGCCGGUGUAAGUAGCGAAAAGACAAGUGAGAAUCUUGUCCACCGAAAGCCUAAGGGUUCCUGGGGAAGGCUCGUCCUCCCAGGGUUAGUCGGGACCUAAGCUGAGGCCGAAAGGCGUAGGCGAUGGACAACAGGUUGAUAUUCCUGUACCACCUCUGUUCCGCUUGAGUGAGUGGCGUGACGCAGGAGGAUAGGGUGAGCGGCCUACUGGAUGGCCGUCCAAGCAGUAAGCCUGGUGUGUAGGCAAAUCCGCACACCGCUAAGGGCAAGCUGUGAUGGCGAGGGAAAUUUUAGUACCGAAGUCCCUGAUUUCACACUGCCAAGAAAAGCGUCUAGCGAGGAACAAGGUGCCCGUACCGCAAACCGACACAGGUAGGCGAGGAGAGAAUCCUAAGGUGCGCGGGAUAACUCUUGCUAAGGAACUCGGCAAAAUGGCCCCGUAACUUCGGGAGAAGGGGCGCCCCGGUAGGGUGAGGGUCCCCGCCCAACGUGAGCGUAAGCUUGCGUUGGGUGGGCUGAGCCCGAGGGGGCCGCAGUGAAAAGGCCCAAGCGACUGUUUAGCAAAAACACAGGUCUCUGCGAAGCCGCAAGGCGAAGUAUAGGGGCUGACGCCUGCCCGGUGCUGGAAGGUUAAGGGGAUGAGUUAGCGCAAGCGAAGCUUUGAACCGAAGCCCCAGUAAACGGCGGCCGUAACUAUAACGGUCCUAAGGUAGCGAAAUUCCUUGUCGGGUAAGUUCCGACCCGCACGAAAGGCGUAACGACUUGGGCGCUGUCUCGGCAAGAGACCCGGUGAAAUCAUAAUACCUGUGAAGAUGCAGGUUACCCGCGACAAGACGGAAAGACCCCAUGGAGCUUUACUGUAGCCUGGUAUUGGAACUUUGUGCAUCAUGUACAGGAUAGGUGGGAAGCUGAGAAGCAGGGGCGCCAGCCUCUGUGGAGCUGUCGGUGGGAUACCACCCUUGAUGUACGGAGUUUCUAACUCGUCGCCCUCAUCGGGCGAGAGGACCAUGCCAGGUGGGCAGUUUGACUGGGGCGGUCGCCUCCUAAAAGGUAACGGAGGCGCCCAAAGGUUCCCUCAGAAUGGUCGGAAAUCAUUCGUAGAGUGUAAAGGCAGAAGGGAGCUUGACUGCGAGACCUACAAGUCGAGCAGGGACGAAAGUCGGGCUUAGUGAUCCGGUGGUUCCGCAUGGAAGGGCCAUCGCUCAACGGAUAAAAGCUACCCUGGGGAUAACAGGCUUAUCUCCCCCAAGAGUCCACAUCGACGGGGAGGUUUGGCACCUCGAUGUCGGCUCAUCGCAUCCUGGGGCUGAAGUAGGUCCCAAGGGUUGGGCUGUUCGCCCAUUAAAGCGGUACGCGAGCUGGGUUCAGAACGUCGUGAGACAGUUCGGUCCCUAUCUGUCGCGGGCGCAGGAAGUUUGAGGAGAGCUGUCCUUAGUACGAGAGGACCGGGAUGGACGCACCUCUGGUGCACCAGUUGUCACGCCAGUGGCAUAGCUGGGUAGCUAUGUGCGGACGGGAUAAGCGCUGAAAGCAUCUAAGCGUGAAGCCCCCUCCAAGAUGAGACUUCCCACAGCGUUAAGCUGGUAAGACCCCUCAUAGACGAUGAGGUUGAUAGGUUCGGUGUGGAAGCGCGGCAACGCGUGGAGCUGACGAAUACUAAUCGGUCGAGGACUUAUCCACA